CAGGAAAGCACAUCCCCCACCUGACCCCAGCCACGGCCUCUUCGUCCCCCUCAGGCCCGCUCCCACUCACAGUCAUGAGGAAUACCAGCACGGCCCUGGGCUCUGCCGCGAGCACCAGCUCUGUUCCCUGGGUGCCUGGUCAAGCGGCUGCCUGGUAAUCAUUCUUUGGCCUUGCGGUUUUGAAGCCCUCCACCGUCUCUGGGCCUCCCCUCCUCCCUCCCCUCUUUACUCAGCCCCCGCCCCCCAGGCCUGAGUCUUGGGUCUCUUUUUCUGUCAAACUCCUCGGUAAAACCACAGAUGAAUGUAAACAUCCCCUCCCCGUGCGGCCCAGGGAAAGGAGGGGCAAGGGGCUCUAGGACUCGGGAAAGGCUGCUCCACCUCCUUCACGGGGGCGUAACAGAGAAACGCGGAGACCGUGUGGAAACUCUGGUCACGCCGACUACCCCUCACAGAUGACAAUGAGAAAUUCUGGACGCAAAUAUAUAUGUUUCGAAAAACAAUGUGAAGGCCCUGGAGCACGAGUAAAAGCAGGCAGAAGCUGGAAAGGAGCCGACCCCUGAAAACAGAAACUGCAGCCAGUGAGACGCAUGUUGGUGGCAACGGACUGACAGACGCUCACAAAGGAAGCUGCGGGCUUGGCUACUCAGCACAUGGAAAAGUGUGCAGCAUCAUUAGUCACCAGGGGAAUGCAAAUUAAAACCACAGGGAGACCCCACUGCACACCCAUUCUGAAAUUCAAAGACUGACCACACGGACCAUCAGUGGGGUGUGGAGAGGGGGAACUCGUAUGCCGCCGGUGGGAAUUCAGAAAUGGCACAACCAUUGCAAAACGGAUCGCCAGUUUCUUAGGAAGGUAAAUAUACACCUGACAUUUGACCCAACAAUUCCACUCCUACGUAUUAUCCAAGAGAAACGGAAUGUGUCCACAAAGGGACCUACCUCAAAUGUUGGUAGUAGCUUUAUCCGUGUUACCAAGAAACUGGAAACAACCGGCACGUCCAUCAAGUGGAGAAUGGACACACUAAGUGCAGAAUACGACACAUGGGCUACUGGGCCACGGAAAGGGAAGGAGCGGUGAAACAGCCACGUGGAUGCCCUCUCCUGCUGGCGCCUCCUAAACUGAUGCUGCUGGCCACGAGCUCCCCUUUGAGUCGAGGCACACAGGCGGCACCUCCGCACAUCUCCUGAGAACCUUCCGGGAGCACAAAGGAAAUCCGGACUUCCCCCACGAACCGGUUCCUGACCAGCUGUUCCCACUGGCUAGUGCAAAUUUCUCCAUUUUUACUCAUUCAUUCAUGAAACUUUUAUUAAGAAGA
Molecule: long non-coding RNA, 1316 nt
Filed under: Equus caballus (horse)
Lineage: Eukaryota; Metazoa; Chordata; Mammalia; Perissodactyla; Equidae
Description: lncRNA (ENSECAG00000056719.1)
Source: RNAcentral